Pelobates cultripes (western spadefoot toad) is the source of this 3739-nucleotide non-coding RNA. NCBI's taxonomy places the organism in Eukaryota, Metazoa, Chordata, Amphibia, Anura, Pelobatidae. The record is from the annotation of a GenBank genome assembly.
CUCCAUUCAGGCCAUAUUCCCGGGUCCCCUCCACUACAGAGCCAUGCAACGCCUCAAGGCGAGGUACCUACGCCGCAGGCCCACGUACGAUCAAAUCGUCCCGGUGACGACGGAAGUUCGUGAGGAACUGUCAUGGUGGCUGGACAGCAUGCAAGCCUGGAACGGCAGGGCCAUAUUCGGAGACACCCCAGACUUCGUACUGGAGUCAGACGCCAGCUUGUGGGGCUGGGGCGCCACCAGCGGGUCCAUAUCCACAGGAGGAACAUGGACAGCGCAGGAACUCUCCAUGCACAUAAACUGCCUGGAACUCCUGGCGCUCCGCAGCCUGGCCCGAGACAGAUCCAACUGCUGCAUCCUCCUACGCAUGGACAAUGUCUCCGCAGUCCGAUAUAUCAAUCGCCUGGGGGGCGCACGUUCACGUCUACUGUCAAACAUCACAAAGGACAUUUUCAACUAUUGCCUACCCCGCAACAUCGCUCUCUAGGCCGAAUACCUGCCCGGGGAAAUCAACCUCACGGCCGACUGGUUCUCUCGCCACUGGAGGGACGUCAGCGAUUGGAGACUGAACACGAGGAUCUUCAGAGCCCUGGCGACCCAGAGGGGUCCCUUUCACCUGGAUCUGUUUGCGUCCCGCAACAACCACCAAACCCCGGAGUUCUUCAGCUGGCUCCCGGACCCGGAGAGCAAGGCGACGGAUGCCUUUCUACAACAAUGGCCAACGACCGGAGCCUAUGCCUUUCCCCCAUUUGCCAUGAUCGCAAGAACAUUACACCAGAUGCGGCCGCAACAGGUCACUCUGGUCCUCAUAACACCCUUGUGGCAGAGCAAACCAUGGUUUCCGGACCUCCUAGCCACCUCCUGCAGGGAUCCUCUCCUCCUUCCAUCCUUUCCGGAGCUGCUCACGGAUCCCAAAGGGAAUCUUCACCCGCUUCUCUUGGAAGAUCGACUACCCCUGGUGGCUUGGACUCUUUCCGGGGUUCCUGUCAAGUCAGCGGACUAUCGCAGGCUACCAGGGACCUCUUAUGGGAUUCCUGGGCCCCCGGAACUAGACGCUCCUACCUUUCAGCUUGGACCUCCUGGUCUACUUGGUGUAUGGAAUGGGACGCUGGGGAUUGGCUCCCUAAUGACCGCCUCUCCCUACGCCAAUUGUCAGCCAAGUGCGCUUUUCUGCUCUGUCUCGUGUCCUUUCGACGGGUAUCAGACGUUCGAGCCUUCGACGUUGACGCCUUCGAGAUUGCCCCGGAGGGGGUCACUUUUCACGUUUCCCGUCGCACUAAGUCGGGUUCGACCUCGGUAUUCUACCCCUUUUUCCCAGACGACCCGCAACUCUGCGUCGUGUCCACUCUGCGCAGAUACGUUUCGGUUACCUCCUCGCUCCGGAACUCGGUGUCGGGCCAACUCCUAGUCUCCUAUGUCCGCCCCCACGCGCCGGUCUCGGUCACCACACUGGCCCGGUGGAUUCGAUGGAUCCUCUCCCUCGCCGGUAUAGACCCUACUUUCGGCGCCCACUCCGUUCGAGGGGCGGCGGCUUCCUCAGCCUUCCUAGCGGGGGCGUCACUGUCAGACAUCCUCCGAGCGGCGGAUUGGUCUCGGGAAUCCACUUUCCGUACCUUUUAUUUUCGCACUCCCCCUUCUGCUGGGACAUCUCUCCUUCAGCGUUAAAAUUGCAAAAUAGGAAGCCUCCUGUCAUGUUAUAAAAUUGAAGAUUAUGCUAGCUUUAAUGUACUAAUAAUCUUAAUUUUAAUAAGGACAGGAGGCGAGUAUUUUCCCUCCCUUUUGUUCCCUACCCUGACGCCUCGGGGGAGUGGAUCUCAAGGUGACGGACUUUUGUUUUGGCUUGUCAGUGCUUGCUACUUCCUUGGGGUGCACGCAGUUUCUAUCCCGUCUCUCAUCCCAGAACUAGGUCUUUGACAACCAGGUUACGUUGCACCACAUAUUCACAUAACACGUAAUUACCUAACAUUACACACACUACUGUGUAUAUCACCACUUAGUUGGACACACUCUGAUAUGGCUCUCAUGCGUGACCAGUUACGGUUCAGUACCUAACCUAUUUCAUACUCUUCUUUCAGUGUAAUCCUCUUCAGGACCUCCACUGGUUGUUGGUUUGGUUACCCUCACGACUCCGCCUACGAGGAUAAAGGCUUCGUUUCGUCUUCUUCCAACCUCGUUUACCAGGAGUCUCAUCAAGUUCUGCUCACCAGAGACCGCUGUUGAUUGUUUCGUUGGUUCUAUCGUUUCGAGAUCAGUCUGGACUUGGAUGUCGCUUCAAGAAAGAGGAAGUGUACAGGCAGCAUGACCCUUAUAUAUACUAUGCUGCUCAGUGAUUUAAUGUUACUCUUUACGUUUUUCUUUACUGCUGUGGAGUUUAGUAAAGAGAGUUAAUGCAAAAUACUCGCCUCCUGUCCUUAUUAAAAUUAAGAUUAUUAGUACACUAAAGCUAGCAUAAUCUUCAAUUAUCAUCUGUAAUAGUAAUGGCAGAACUAUAGAUAUAGCAGGGAGUAUAAUGAGAAAGUCCGGUGAAUACACUCUUUAAUCUCAGCUAAUCCUAGGUCUAAGAGGUAGUAAAUCAUAGUCCUCUUUCCUUGUCAAUCACAUUAAAGGAACACUCCAAUGGAAACAUUUUUAUUUAACAAUUUAGUAUAUAUACCCCUAAAGAAAGCAUGUAGGCAUUUAAUUAAGCAAUUUUUGCCACUGUUGGUAUAUAAAAUUUGGUUGCAACGGCUGCAUAUCUCUUGUCUAUAGCCUUUGUAAGCCCUACCCUUCAUCUACAGCCCAGACUUUCUGUGGCAUCCAAUCACAAACUUCCCAAUGCAGCUCAAUGAGAAAUCUUUGCAAGGCAGGUGCUCUGGACAAUUGCUGCCUCGAGUUUAGUUCCACUGAGCUAACCAAAAAGUAAGAGGAUUGUCUGAUUGGCAGCCAGAGGGAUGUAACAAGGUUUUGCCAUUUUUAAUAAAAGUGAAAAAAAAAUUAAAAAGUGCACUUUUUGUAAAAUAAAUAAAUAAAAAGCAAUUCAGCAAGCUAAAGUGCUUAAGAUGUGUGGAGUACCCCCUUAAGUGUGGGACCUACACUGUAAUAUACUAAAUCAGAGAGGACAGACCCCAGAUCUCUCUCUCCUGACCCUGGGCAUGUAUGUAAGAUAGGACGAAAGAUGCAAGGGAUGUCGCCAGGAGCUGGAAGAGACAAAAUAACAGAAAUGGAGCCCCUUAUCAUUUUGUUAUACUUAAGUGUAUUCAUUUAUAUUGUAACAUGUAAAAAUAAUAGCUGGGAUGAACAAAUGCUAUAAUAAAACUACAUUUUUAUGUAUAUCAUUAAGCAACUGUUUUAUACUGGUCUGCUAAACCUCAGUGAUAGGUUUCCAAACUAUAAUAUGACAUUGUUUCUUUAUGACGGAUUGCAGUGCCUAAUGUCCUGGGAGCUUACUAACUUCUUAUAUUAGCUAUUAAAAGCAUUAUAGUGACAGAAUAACAUAAGUAUUUCAGUUAGUACUGUACUGGCUUACACAAUCUCACUCCUUGUUUUCCUGCUGAAUGAAAAUGACCAGCCCGCCUAAAUGUUAAAACAUACAGAGGGUCAUUUUUUUUAUUAUUAUUUUUAACUCAUCUGGUGUAAUGUCUUACUUCACAGUAAACGUUUCCAUUACUGGAUGUACAUAUGUGUCUAUAGACUGUGUAUACACACACUUUAUUAUCCAUUAUUUAUAAUGUGCCAACAUUCAGUUUGCUCUAGCAAAUUAAAA